RNAcentral lists this ribosomal RNA (174 nucleotides) under uncultured bacterium. RNAcentral describes it as "partial 16S ribosomal RNA". It matches the Rfam family "Bacterial small subunit ribosomal RNA", at positions 337 to 502 of the family's 1533-position model. The record is from RNAcentral.
GCCUACGGGAGGCAGCACGUGGGGAAUAUUGCACAAUGGGCGCAAGCCUAGAUGCAGCGAUGCCGCGUGAAGGAUAGAAGGUCUUCGGAUUGUAAACUUCUGUUAAGUGGGAAGAAAGACGGUGUGCUAAUACCACAUUGGGAUGACGNACCAGCUAGAGAAAGCUCCGCACCU